GAUUGGCUCAGAACGAACGCUGGCUCCGUGCCUAACACAUGCAAGUCGUGCGCGAAAGCCCCCGCAAGGGGGUAAGUAGAGCGGCCAACGGGUGAGUAACACGUGGGUGACCUACCUUCGAGUGGGGGAUAACAAUCCGAAAGGAUUGCUAAUACCGCAUGACAUCCUGUCCUUUGACGGAUGGAGAUCAAAGCCGGGGAUCGUAAGACCUGGCGCUUGGAGAGGGGCCCGCGUUCGAUUAGCUAGUUGGUGAGGUAACGGCUCACCAAGGCGACGAUCGAUAGCCGGCCUGAGAGGGCGGACGGCCACACUGGGACUGAGACACGGCCCAGACUCCUACGGGAGGCAGCAGUGGG
Molecule: small RNA, 356 nt
Filed under: uncultured bacterium
Lineage: Bacteria
Description: bacterial SSU rRNA
Rfam family: Bacterial small subunit ribosomal RNA
Source: RNAcentral